This is a long non-coding RNA of Lolium rigidum, 3012 nucleotides long. RefSeq lists it as uncharacterized. Lineage: Eukaryota; Viridiplantae; Streptophyta; Magnoliopsida; Poales; Poaceae. The record is from RefSeq and is a predicted model, not a curated record. The transcript is spliced from 5 exons.
AAACCACGCAGCCUUUCCUUGCUGAUGGUUGAUGGUCUCAGUUUCAGCAAAUUUUAAUUCAUGAGAAUAUGAGAUGAUGUGAGAGGUGUUGCGUAAAGGUUAUAUUUCUCAAUUUUGUUCUUGUGUUAAUAGAUAGCGUACUGACCAUAGUAUGCAGAAAGUUUGACUAUAGAAAGGACAAUUAAAUAUGACAUCAUUGCUCUCACUAAUAUAGCUUAAUGACAGUAAUUGAGAAAGCACUGAAACUAAACCAUUACAAAUAAACUGAGAGACGGUCUUAUAAAUUAUUUUACAAGCUGCAGUCUUUAUUGCUUGUUAUACUUUCGUUGGUUGUACAGGAAGUUGUUUUAGCAUAUCAAAGCAGGUUGACUAAUGGACCUGCUAGGAAUUUUGUUACAUUAGGCACCGAAGAACAUGUUUCAAGAUACCUUCCAGAAGCUGCAACUUAGAUACCUACCAGAAGCUGCAACUCUCAUGUUAAUGAAUAUUUAUUCACAUGAUAUAACACAAUCGGGUAAGAUUAAUUAGGAGGGCAAGCUGCAGUAACUUUACUUGAAAAUGUUGAUACUUAUACAUGAGAGAAUGACCUACCUCGAUUAUGGAGUAACGGUUUUCAGGCUGUGGCUAAGACUACUAUUUGUUGUAUGUAGUAUUAAUGAUCAUGCUUGCAUUGUUAGGUGAUAAAUUUACCAAGAAAAGGAAGUCAAGAUAGCAUAUCCGAUGGCAAUGUUCCAUGCAAUUGUUUUUGACAACUUCUGGUUGGCUGCUCAAUCUGUUAUGUGGUACCAACCACCUAGCUACGUGCUCAGUAAUUGUGUUUCAGUAGUUUAGCACCACAAACUGCAAAAUAUUGGUUGCUAUCAAUUUGAUAGUUUUUAGCCUAUAGUUGUUGCCUUCAUGAGUAAUGCACAGUCAACUGAAUAUCACUGAUGACUGCUCUAAUUUUUGUCUCAAUUAGUUGCCCCUAGGUAGUAGAAUUACUUCGAAAGUAUAGUCAGUAGCUUACGUUCUGAUGUCCCAAAAAACACCAUCCUCGUUCGUCGGCACACAGGAGGUUGCAGGUGUGUACACAACGUGCUUGCGUAAAUGUCAAUGGGCAAUAGUGUUAGUUUUUUACAAGUAUUGGUUGAGGAGAGUGAAAUAUAUGCAGAUUUAAUGUCAUAUAGUUCUUAGUUUCUUUUUACAUAUCUCAGGCUGUAGUAUCCCGAUGGUUCAAUUUCUGCCUCACCACUUGACCUCCUGUAUAUUGAUUUUCAGGAUAAGCUGAUGGAUGUUGGAUUUGGGCAGACAUUAGAUGAAAUUAGAUAAGAUGUUGGUGGCAUUUUGUAACUGCGUCUAUCUUCCACGGAAGCAACAGGUAAUGCAAGGCUAACACCAUCACAUUAUCCACCUCUGCUUUGUGACAGUGUGACACCGAUUGGUUUAUGCAUUCAAAAAGUGGUCCAGCAUUUGCAAUAGACUUUAUUAUGAUAGUUUUAUGGUUCUUUUGACAUGUGUUGCAGACCUCAGUUAAUAUAGUUAAUAUUAGGUGCGUCUUUUGAGGUCAUUAUCUGCGAAUAUUAGAUGCGUUUUCAUUUCAAAGAUUUUCUAAGCAUAUUUAAGAUAUUACAUGAUUUCAGUGGAUGGUUGGUCUAUGAUAGGUUAACUCUAUAAAUGCAUAAUUUUACAUAUAAUAGUUUUUUAUACAAGGUUGAUAUACUGUUUUACAAAUUGUUUCUCAAUGCGAAAAGCCGGGAGCCGCGUUCCAAGGCGUGCACCAAAUAUUAAAUUGAUUGCUCAAAAUUGUCAACCUUGAAUGAAGAUGAGCCUUGAAUUAUAUUUUGAACACCAUCUUGAUAAUUAGUAUUUCUCUGCCACCGGUGAAUAAGAGCAGAAACCCUUUUAUAAGGAAAUUAAUUUUACUCUAUAGUGUCCAUCUUAGUUUGCAAAAUAACAAAAUUCAUUUGCUCUUUUUUUUCGACACCACUGCCUACUCCAUAAGAAUACAUAUAAUCGGGAUACACAAUUUGUUUAUAUUUAAUGUCUCCCUUUAGGUACUUGCUACUUUUUGGGUAGCAAGUUAGGGUGGUCUAGCAGUGCCUGCCGCUUAUUAUGCGCAGAUUGAUCAUAUAUUUCCUAGGUUUUUUAGUAAUUCAGGUUUUCCCACAUUGAACAUACUGAAUCAAAUGAAAGAAGCCUGCAUAGUUAUAUGAUAGUUUGGUUUGCUCGAAAGAAUUAAAGGUUAAUAAAAUGCUAGACUACUAGGACUACAUUGUGUAUAUCUAAUGGUUUGGCUGGUCUCUCAUGCCUAUAUUUUUUUAAUCUACCUGCCUUGACAAGGUUCAUAGCAUAGUUCGGGUCCAGCCAGGUAAAUAGCUGAGUACCAUUUGUAACAUGAAUGCAUUUUAUUUUUGCUCUUGUCCUUCAUCACCUAUUGCUGGUCCAAGUUCCAUUUCCUGAAUUGCUUAGUGUUGUAUAGUUGAGGACAUGCAAACCAUCUGGAAGCUCAGUUAUGUUUAAUCUUACAUGUAAGAUUUGCAGGUUUUCGGCCACGACUUUUACCUACACGGCUUGCUGCACGCUAGGACCUAAAGUUACCCUUGAUUUUCUGGCUUCAUCAGAGAAAGUUCUUGGAAGGCAGUUGUCGCAUAAAGCUCAGGCGGAUGUGGCGGCCAAGAAGAAGAAUGCCUAAAUAAAAAGCAGGGGUCUUUCUUUUGGUGACACAGAUUGCCAGUAGUUGUUUCCUUUCAGUUAUUUACUUACCGUGAGAUCCGAUGGUCGCAGUCCUCCCCUUUGUAGUUGGCAUGUAAAUAUGAACUAAGUUCCUGAUGCAGCGAUUACCUUGUGCACCUCGUGUGUAUGCUUGUUCUACCGUCUCCUAAUGCUAGCCAUGUGCGCAUGCUUUUGGUUCGUGCUGCUAUCAGCUGCUUCUAUGUAAUUUGUUCUAUCAUGUAAUGCCUUGCUCAGAAAAAGAACUAUUGUAAAUUCCUGAAACAAUGCUACUUUAUACUUAAUAGUGUGCAGUUCGCUCUA